RNAcentral lists this long non-coding RNA (1929 nucleotides) under Equus caballus (horse). Its description in RNAcentral is "lncRNA (ENSECAG00000048750.1)". Lineage: Eukaryota; Metazoa; Chordata; Mammalia; Perissodactyla; Equidae. The record is from RNAcentral.
UUAACAUUAGGGCUAAUCACACCUACUUGAACCAAACCAAAAUGUGGGACAGCUCCCCGACACGUGGACAAGAGUACUACCAAGCAGGCAUGUCCAGAAUCAACAAUGGUGACGCCUAUAGGCCAAACAGACAACUGCUUUGGGGGUGCCACUUCGAGAGUGUCUGAACGGGAUGAGGUGGUGUGGGUCUGGGGUCCCAGGUGGGGAACCGUAAGCUCAGGAUUUCUGAGCUGUGUGUAGUGAGGGGUACCCGGAGGGUCCACACAAAACUGGUCUUCAAAAUGGACACCAAGUGGCACUGAGAGGUCCACCACUUCUGGCCAGUGCCUGCAAUGCCACAUGAGCCCCUUGCUUUAAGGCUGAGAGGAGGAAGAUGGUGAAGCUUGCCAGGCACUGGCGUGUCACCAUGAAUUGGGGUUUUUAGCCCCUCCUGAGAUUUGUGUGGAAUAUUUGUGCAGAAUAAGAGAACAGCGGGAUGGGGGGGGGAGCGGGGGGGCCAAUCAAUUGAAAAUCAACUUUGCUGAGUCAUACUUUUGCAGAUGGCAGAAAAACUUGGCUGACAAAGCAAAACUUCACAGUUUUGCCAAUGGCAGGCCAUUUAUGUUAUUUAAGAAACGUAUAAAUAGACUUGCCAUAAGCAAGUUCUGAGUGCUUUAUAAACAUUUACUUAUCUAAGCCCCUCAACAGUCCCAUGAAAUAGGUAUUCGUAUCAUCCUUAUUUUACAGAUUAGGAAACUGAGGCACAGAGAGUUUAAGAAGCUUACUUGAGGCCACAAAGCUAGAAAGUGAGGCACAGAGAGGUUAAGUGACUCGUCUGUGGUCACACAGCUGCUAAGUAGUAGAGUCAGGAUUUGAAUGCAGACUUUGCCGCCAGAGCCCGUACUCCUAGCCUCCGUGCUCUGUCACAUUUCAGUUUCUUGGCAGACUCGCUGCUAAAUGUCCUCUGGUGGGGAUGUUCCUCUCUGCAUGAUGGUUCACGGUAGGGCCUUCGUGAAGCUAGAGCAGAUUUAAGUACACGUGGGAGCCGUGGGUGGUUUUUCUGCCCCUUUUUCUGGCCUUCAAUUCUGGGAUAUUGGGUUGCCCCAAACUCUGAUUCUGUCGUCUUCAACCAGCCUGAAGAAAAGCCACGACUUUGGGCUUGUUAGAAAUGCAGCCGAUCAUGAGGGACUUGGACCAACCAUUUCCCUCUUUGCCCAAGCUUCCUGAUCAUUCCAGGCCUCUGCCCAUCACACACCCUCCUUCUUAAAUACUAUCAUCAGUGCCGGGGUCGUUAGGGAGAAACCCAAUGAAGAGGAAAUGAUUAUAAAAGUUGCAUCUGCUGUUCAGGCAGCUGUUCUCUUUCCUCAUUAAGACAAUCAAUCAUUUUUCAACAUCAUUUUUGUAACUAGAAAAAGGCUUCAUUUAUUCUAAGACUAAGGAGCAGGAAUGAGGGAAUUAAAUCCCACAGGUCUUUAGCUGAUGGGAUUUUUUUUAAUACUCUGUCCUCACCAAUGACCUAAUUAAGCUUUCAGAGAAUGAAAAACUCUCAGCCCCUCUGUCUUGUUUCCAUCUGUGCCUUUGCAGAAGUCCAUGCCCCCAGCAGUCCAUGCCUUCUCUUCUGACUUUUUCUUGAGUCUCAUCUUUGUAGAUUAAGCCCAGAUUUCUCUGACUUUCUGCAAGGGCUUCUUGGCAAUGCGUCAUUAUCACUAAAAUCUUACAGCCGAGCCGCAGAUUGUCAUGGAGAUGUCAAGUCAAAUGACGGUGAUGUAAUGACGUGAGCCCCAACCGUGGGGGCAGACUGCCCAGGUUCAAAUAUCAGCUCUGCCCCUAACUAGCUAUUUGACCUUAGGCACAUGACUUAGGCUCUUGAUGCCUUGGUGUCCUCAUCUGUGAAAUGGAGAAUAAAGAUGGAUUAACUGAGAGACAUGUCAGACAUCAAACCAUAGAUUC